This 356-nucleotide transfer-messenger RNA is filed under the name human gut metagenome. It matches the Rfam family "transfer-messenger RNA". Rfam says of the family: Bacterial tmRNA, also known as 10Sa RNA or SsrA, is named for its dual tRNA and mRNA-like properties. Its role is to liberate the mRNA from a stalled ribosome. The record is from RNAcentral.
GGGGCUGCUUUUGGCUUCGACGAAAAUAUUAGUAUUUAAUUAGCAAGACGGGUUCUUCCCGUAAUAGAAGAAAAAUUAAACAUAACUGGAAACAGCUAUAAAAACGCUGUUGCUUAUGCCUAACCUAUAGGCGCAACAGGUUCUACUAAUUCUUUGUCUGUGAGAAUUAGAUAGGACUUAUAAAGCAGACUAUAUUAUGAUUUAUGUUUAGACUUCAUAAUGAAUAUCUUUAAACUAGUAAGUAAUUAUGAUUGUGGAUUAUCUAUUUACUUAUGAAAACUAAAAAUCCACUAAUCUUGUAGAAAGUUAAAUAACUUUGUUUGCGGACAGGGGUUCGAGUCCCCUCAGCUCCACCA